Molecule: ribosomal RNA, 103 nt
Filed under: Bacillus safensis
Lineage: Bacteria; Bacillati; Bacillota; Bacilli; Caryophanales; Bacillaceae
Source: RNAcentral
GCGAAGAGGUCACACCCGUUCCCAUACCGAACACGGAAGUUAAGCUCUUCAGCGCCAAUGGUAGUUGGGGGUUUCCCCCUGUGAGAGUAGGACGCCGCCAAGC